Molecule: unclassified non-coding RNA, 152 nt
Filed under: uncultured Dothideomycetes
Lineage: Eukaryota; Fungi; Ascomycota; Dothideomycetes
Description: sequence contains ITS1
Source: RNAcentral
CCGAGUGAGGGUUCCGGCCCGAUCUCCAACCCUAUGUGAAAUCGACCGAUUUGCCUCGGGGGGCGACCCGGCCUCGCGGCCGGCAGAGUCCCCCGCAGGACACCAUCAAACUCUUGCGUAUCGUGCGUCGGAGUGUGAAGCAAAUUAAAGCA